AAGGUAACAUCCAUACAUGGCUGCGAUGCGCUCAGUUUACUACAACUGAGCUGCUGAGCACUGGCUGAGGACGCAGUGUGCAUUCUGUUAAUUAAUCUGAUCCAGUCUGUGUCAGUGCAAGGCUUCCCCAUACAUGACGUUGGCUUUUUUUUGUUAUAAUUCUGUAUGAAAAAGCAAGCAGACAGAUAGCCUUUUAACCACCCAACAGCCUGGAAAGGCAGGGGAAGCCGACUGGACUGCUUGUUGGAGGCAUGGAGCAGGAACAAGGAAUGUCAGUUCUGCCACUUAUUCACUAUUUGACUCUGGACGAAGCAUCUACCCUCUGCACACCUAAUUUCAUUAAAAACAAAUCAGGAGGGUAUGCCAAGGUUAUUGUUUUCUAAUUACCCAGAGCCCUUCCUUGCAUGGAAGGCCUUUCAGAGAAGGGAUUCGCUCAGAAAAUAGUAAUCCAUCAUUCAGGUGCCAAGAAAUCACAAAAAUGCAGGCUGAGCCAUGAACAAGCUGUGUCACCAAAGCAUAUUUCUGCUUCAGUGUGACAAACACCUGAGCAAACAAGCUGUGGGAAUAAACAUAAUCAAAGGUUAUUAGUUAAUAGGGACUAAUCUCCCACAAACACUUGUGUACUGAAGCAGGCUCUUUCAAAAACACAGGUUCGGUCGCAGAAGGAAUUCAGCUAAUCUGGAGUUUGUUUUCUCCUGCCUGCUGUGUGGUAUGUGGUAAAAAUCACACACCGGGUCUUCCUGGCAAACCAGAAUUGCUUUUGUUGAUGUCCAUUUCUCCAUCUCUGCUCAGAAGCAAUCGUGGGUUUGGAUGUGCUUAGAUAGCAUCACUCGUAUGCUAUGCAAGAGAGAGAACAGGUUCUGCUCCCUAGGAGAAGACACAGCCCCUGCCUCCUCCUCAGUAUCUGUGCAGCAGGCUCUAAGGCUGCUCCCCAAACCAGGUAAGAUGCUCAAGUGCUUACAAAGGAAAGGCUUUAUGUGUUAUUUCUGUCUGUCCCUAACUGUUCCAACGUGAGCCCCACAGCAGCAGCACGGAAGGACCUGCCUUUCUUACUGAAGCCCACAGGACUGUCUAUGAGCCUCAAGUCAAACCCAUGCUUAAGUAGCUGUUACAUGAAGUCCCACCACAGCUGGGGACUGUGUCAGUGAUGAAGUCACCCCCGACCUCUGCAUCUCAGCCUGAAACACUUUGUUGCCCAAAAAUGCAGCUUUUUUUAAGAAUUAACUCAUCUAACAUCAAAUGGAUUUCAUUAUCUUUCCACAGAAUGAAUCAAUAAUAGCGGGCAGAGAUCCUAAUGCCAUUUACCAGCAUUAGUUUACACUCUUUGUGGAAAUCUCCUUUCUCGUGGAUUACAGUAAAGCAGAAUUUAUCAGGACUGCAGAGAAGCUGGGGGCAUCGCUUUUGGUUUCUGAUCACAGCUCUACCUUCCUCCACCAAGAAAACAGCAAAUGAUUAGUCAUAUAGUACUUAUUGAUUUACUAGUCUUCGUUUAUAAAAUUAUGUUUCCCAGGAUUGUUCUUUUUUUUAUUAUUAUUAUUAUUAUUACUGAAGCAAAUUGUAACACACUAAAUUGGAAGCUGGUUAACUCCUCCCUAUCUCUGCUUUUAUAGCUCAUUUUCUCUCUGAUUGAACAAAAGCCAUUAAGUGAGAACUGUUUUUUCUAAACACAGGAAAUAAAAGGCAGGCUUCAUAAGGAUGUAUCA
Coturnix japonica (Japanese quail) is the source of this 1703-nucleotide long non-coding RNA. Lineage: Eukaryota; Metazoa; Chordata; Aves; Galliformes; Phasianidae. The record is from Ensembl.